Molecule: long non-coding RNA, 1401 nt
Filed under: Equus asinus (donkey)
Lineage: Eukaryota; Metazoa; Chordata; Mammalia; Perissodactyla; Equidae
Description: lncRNA (ENSEASG00005031987.1)
Source: RNAcentral
CCCAUACUCAGCCCACUUGGCCAGAGACACUUCAGUUAGAAAUGUGUUCUCCUGCUGUGUCCCCUCUUAACGGGGCUCUUGUUUCCGGAAAGCCUGGAGUGAGAGCCUUUUCGGAAGCUGCAGACAUUUGUUCAACCCUUGCUCGACCCAGACACCUCUGGCCAUUUGCCAGAGGUCCCCGAAGGGUGAAACUGUGUCCACAGUGAACAGGAAAGAGACCCGCAUCAGGGAGACAGGCCGAAAAAGCAGGUGGAGCGCCUGGUUACCGCCUUGCUGGGCACUGACCCCUCCUAUGUGCCCACCUUCCUGGGCACCUGCAGAGCUUUGCCACCACCCAACAUUGCUGGACCUGCUGUUCAAAGGUCCAUAUCCCCAUCUACAUCCGUCAGCAAAAGGGGAAAGAGCAGGAAGAAAUGCCUGUGGGAAGAUUUCAUGGCCAUGUCUGGAAAGGCACACAGCACUUUCACUUCUUCUAUUGGCAAGAACUGGUCACAUGGCCAUACCUAAUGCAAAGGAAGCUGGGAAAUGUAGUUCACUGUUGUCCAAAGAAGAGGAGAAUGGAUUUUGAUGAACUGAAGCUCUCUGCAACAGAGAGUAAUUCAUUUGGAUUUAUUGUGUUUCUCAAAUCCUUAUUGAGUAUCUGCCGUAGGCCAAUCACAGUACUAAGGGCUUGAAGAGGGACACAGAAUUGAUUCAGCAGAGUCCUGGCCUGGGGGAAGUUACAAGUCUAAAGAAGGAGAAAGGACAUGGUAUUAAGUGCCUGCCAUUCUAAGAGAGAAAAGGAUAAAGUAGAAAGUGCUCUGAAAGUUCAGUGAAUUAUCUUAGAAUGGGAAGAUGCUUGGAGAUGACACCAACUGAUCUUCAUUUUCAGAGAUAAGAUAUUGUUGGUGGAAGAAAAUGGCAACAAGAACUAUAUAAGCAGCGAAAACCGAGGAGCCCUGGAGCACUCAUACAAUUUCCCGUGAGUCCACCAGUGAGCAGUGUGUGAUUGCUUACGACACCGACGCUGAUCCACUGCAAAAAUUUACUUUACAGGCUAGCCUUCUUCAGAACAUGUCUUUUAACUUAAGAAAAAUUCUUUAAGGAGUGUUUAUUUGCUUUUAUUCUUCCACUUCUUUGGAAUAUAAUGAAAAUUCUCUACAAGUGACAAGUAUAAGGUAAUCCACUAACUGGAAGAUGUCCCUCUUUAUGUAUUCAGAUAUGUAAUAUUAUGAGUUCCUGACUGAAUUUGGAUCUUUGCCUAAUACCAUAUAAAAAAUUAACCCAAAAUGGAUUAAAGACCUCAACUUAAGAGCUAAAACUACAAAAAUGUUGAGGAAAACUUAGGGGCAAGUCUUCACGACCUUGGAUUUGGCAUUGGUUUCUUAAAAAUGACACCAAAAAGAAUAAAAGAAAGACAGA